RNAcentral lists this transfer RNA (72 nucleotides) under Huiozyma naganishii CBS 8797. RNAcentral describes it as "tRNA-Pro (TGG) (tRNA-Pro-TGG-3-1)". It matches the Rfam family "tRNA". From Rfam's summary of the family: Transfer RNA (tRNA) molecules are approximately 80 nucleotides in length. Their secondary structure includes four short double-helical elements and three loops (D, anti-codon, and T loops). Lineage: Eukaryota; Fungi; Ascomycota; Saccharomycetes; Saccharomycetales; Saccharomycetaceae. The record is from RNAcentral.
GGGUGUGUGGUCUAGUGGUAUGAUUCUCGCUUUGGGUGUGAGAGGUCCUGGGUUCAAUUCCCAGUAUGCCCC